RNAcentral lists this ribosomal RNA (445 nucleotides) under uncultured bacterium. Its description in RNAcentral is "partial 16S ribosomal RNA". It matches the Rfam family "Bacterial small subunit ribosomal RNA", at positions 330 to 792 of the family's 1533-position model. The record is from RNAcentral.
GCCAGACUCCUACGGGAGGCAGCAGUGGGGGAUAUUGCACAAUGGGGGGAACCCUGAUGCAGCGACGCCGCGUGGGUGAAGGAGCGUUUCGGCGCGUAAAGCCCUAUCGGCAGGGAAGAAGGAGGACGGUACCUGACUAAGAAGCCCCGGCUAACUACGUGCCAGCAGCCGCGGUAAUACGUAGGGGGCAAGCGUUGUCCGGAAUUACUGGGUGUAAAGGGAGCGUAGGCGGGAUGGCAAGUUGGGUGUUAAAUCUACCGGCUCAACUGGUAGUCGCACUCAAAACUGCUAUUCUUGAGUGAAGUAGAGGCAGGCGGAAUUCCUAGUGUAGCGGUGAAAUGCGUAGAUAUUAGGAGGAACACCAGUGGCGAAGGCGUCUUACUGGACCGAAACUGACGUUGAGGCUCGAAAGCGUGGGGAGCAAACAGGAUUAGAUACCCGAGUA